GUGACAGUGAAUGGCACUAUGAAGUUUUAUUGUCAUAACUUUGGAAGGACAAUUACUCAGGGAAUCAUAAGAAAUGAGAACAAAUAUGCCACCCUCAUAGAAAAAUAUUUUGAUUAUCCAAUCAUCUCUCCUUGCGUCAACUGCCUAUUCACCUCAUUAUAGUCAAUACUGCUAGAAGGCUGGAGACUCACAAGGAAAACAAGUUAUGCAGAAGGGAAAUCCACAUGACUGGAUCAUUAGAAGGGUUCCCCAGCACGUGUAGGUAAGUACAGGAACUCACUUCAGACUGGUGAGUUGUUUUCUCGAACUGUUCUACUGCAAUCUGGGCCUAUAGUUCUGCCCAUUCUGAAAGAAAUAGGUCUAUGUUACAGUUACAUUAGGCUCUAGAGCUCUCAAACAGAUCCCAGGAUGAGAAGUACUCUCUGCCUACUAGGCUGAUGGAAAAUUUUCAGUUGUUCCUAAUGUUGUCUUGCACGAUUCCUUUCUCACCAGCCCCCAGCAAGGACCAUGGGCAACUGUCCUGAAUGACUCAUCUAAAAAGAAAGAAGAUAUGCAUUCUUAGCAGUUUUUGUGAAAAACCAGGUGCUUGAAACCAGCUGAACUGUUGCAGAAAUAACACUCUUCAGGUGAAACCUGGAGAAGGAUGUCCUUUUUUCAGCCGUUAUUCACUACGUGUUGCACAUUCUAGGAGUUGCAUCUGUCUCUCGGUACACAAGGACUGGGAGGACCUGUGCCUCAGAAGGGAAUGUGAGAAACUUUCCAUCUCCUGAUAAUACAGAAGAAAACUCUCAUUCUUUCCCUUCUCAGGGUUUCUAAUGGCUACACAUAGUAUUAAGGUGGAGUGAAGGCAAGAUGCAACUCCCUUCCAUGAACUGGUGAAGAAGGAGCAGUAAAAUUCCUCAAAUGUGGAGCCUGAAAUGUCUAUGAAUUAGGUAGGAGUAGAGAGAGGAGCUGGCAUCAUAUUUUUUAUUUCUAUGGUAACCUCACCAAGGGAAGCCCAGCAACAGCACAAAUUAUUAUGCAAAAUUUUUCCAGUUUGAUUUUGAACCCAAAAUUCACGUGAAGCAGAUCUCUUGAAUAACUUCACCAAUUCAGAUGUUCUCACUGAUUGUAUCUGACUAGAACAAAGAUUUAUUUUUAAGUUUAUAGAAAUGACUUUCAGUCCUCCUAAACAUCAC
This 1178-nucleotide long non-coding RNA is filed under the name Numida meleagris (helmeted guineafowl). Its description in RNAcentral is "lncRNA (ENSNMEG00000008610.1)". Lineage: Eukaryota; Metazoa; Chordata; Aves; Galliformes; Numididae. The record is from RNAcentral.